Non-coding RNA from Podarcis lilfordi (Lilford's wall lizard), 71 nucleotides. The record is from the annotation of a GenBank genome assembly. NCBI's taxonomy places the organism in Eukaryota, Metazoa, Chordata, Lepidosauria, Squamata, Lacertidae.
AGAGAUGUAGCUCAGUGGUAGGGCAUCUGCUUUGCAUGCAGAAGGUCCCUUGUUCAAUCCCUGCUUCUCCA